This is an RNA transcript of Canis lupus familiaris (dog), 3876 nucleotides long. It is a transcript of the gene named cortexin 3, with no coding region annotated. The record is from RefSeq and is a predicted model, not a curated record. The transcript has 4 exons. NCBI's taxonomy places the organism in Eukaryota, Metazoa, Chordata, Mammalia, Carnivora, Canidae.
AUGUGCUGUUAUCAGUGGUGCAAUCAGAAGACAAAAGAUGAAAGUAAUAUUUAUGAUUAUAUAAUAGUUGUACUUAUAUAAUAGCAUAUACUUCUAUGUGCCAGGAACAAUUUUAAGCUUUUUUUAAAGCUCUUUUUAGUCCUUACAACAACAUCUUACUCCGGGAGAUAGAGGGUAGCAAACAUACAUGUUAGAACUGGGUAGAAGUUCUUGCAGCAGGAAAAGAUGCCUCGCCACCUCCUGCCAUGCUUCCAGGCUUUACUCCUCAGAUUUCAACAGCUGACUUCUGCCUGUGGAGGUGAAGACUUGAGGCAAAUCAUAAUGUAGAGUUACUCCAUUUCUUCUUCCUUUGAGAGAAACUGUCUGUAAGGCAAUACUGCAGAUUUUUUCCUCCUGAAAUACAUCCAAAAACACUCAAGAAAUCUCUCCCUCAACCUUUAGAUGAAAAUUUCCUUCUAAUUUUCCUCCUGAAAUACUGGUGGAACCAUUCUACCUGGAAAGGUGGAGUUUUUAAAGGGAUCAGCCUCCCUCCAGUUAUCCCAAAGGAGAUGAUGAUUUCAGACACACUGCUAGGAUACUGCCUCUACUCACUGAAGCAGAAGCCUCUGAAGAGUUGCUGAGGCAGAACUGAAAUCAUGGCUCGCCACAAAGAAGCAGCCGUAUUGGCCGCUCACGAUGCCCUCACACAGAAAGACGAUGCUCCUUUAACUCGGGGGUUUUAAUGGGAAGUUUCUAAGCCUGAAACAACAGCUUUGGAGCUGGGGUGUGCCAUCAGCUGCUUGCAGCUACCACUGUCUACUGCUUCAACACAGCUUGGUCGGGAAGGAUGGAAACUAAAGAGGCUUGUAACUACCUGUAACAGUUCCACCAGGAAAUGGAUCAAGUGUUUGCUCAGCCAGAUCCAGAUCACUCAGUGGCUCCACGGUGCAGCCACCAUGAUCUCAGCAGACUGAUGAUGGAAGAAAAGGAAACUGCAAGAUCCCGAGCUCCUGCUUCUCUGGACGAUGGAUGGAGGACAGCCCGUCCCUUCAGCCCUAGUGCCCCUUGAGAAUGCAUCACCAGAUUCUAGCAUGUCUCUGGAGCAGAAAACCACAUUUGUCUUUGUGAUUUUGUUGUUCAUUUUCUUGGGCAUCCUCAUUGUCAGGUGCUUCCGGAUCCUUCUGGACCCAUAUCGGAGCAUGCCGACCUCAACCUGGGCGGAUGGACUUGAAGGCCUGGAGAAGGGGCAGUUUGACCAUGCCCUUGCCUAGCAGAGGGGGAGCAGGACCCCCUCCUGAAGGGGUGAAGUGCAUCAUGUCUUGGCGAGGAAUCCUCUUUAGUCAAUGUUCUUAGCACCAAGUUUUAACAGCACCUGGUCAUAGGCCUACAAUCCCUCAUUUAUUAAACAUGCCAUUAGGUUUUGAAGGAUAUUGGAGAUGAAGGUUUCUAACAGUCUCCUGAAAUAGGAAGUCUUGAAUUUCUGUGUUUACUCCUGAAUGAAUAUUGCCAAAGGUGUGCGGUGGUGAAAGCAAAGAACAUUGGCAAUGAGACAAACUUUGCCAUAAAAUGAAGUGCUCUCCCACCCAGCCAGAGAGUGGAGAAUGGAAAGGAUCUGAAACAAAUCUGGUCACAGGGCCAUGAAGAGGCUUCCUUGUUCUCAGCGUGUCCCUCAGUUGGUUUUAUUUGCAUGGGAAUCCAGGUCCUGGGCAGAGACUCACUCUGAGAGGCUGAGUGAACCCAGAGGAGCACUGGGAAUCAAAGCAUUAGGGUGUGCUUAGCAGAAACAGUCCCCUCUCUGGAAAAGAUGAGUUAGGAUGACCUCAUUUUAUUUCUCAAGUAAAACUGAAUUCACAGGCUUAUGGAGCUUUGAAAACUCUCCACCAGGCCAAGUACAUUCUAGGUAUUCAUAUUAAUAAGCAGUGUAGACGUAGCUAUACAUAACUUGAAUUUACUUUCUUUACAUAAAUGAUUGAAAGAAUGAUUUGUGAGUGUAGCUAUGAGUUUUUUUUUUUUAAAGAAAAAGUUAAUUGUUUAGAAGAGAAGACUAUACUAUACGCUGGCAAACUGAAUUUAAAUUAAAAAAAUAAAACAAAAUAAAAUAAACGAAUAAAAUAAAAUAAAACGAAUAGAAGACUUUCACAGUCUUAAGAGGAAUGUAUGUUUGGGGCUGAAGAGAGAAGCCAAAUAAAACUCUUCAAGAAAUGAUACUGUCUCCUCUCCUAUGUCACUGAGACGAAUGCACUGGUGGCAGCAUGUGACAAGAAGCUCAGAGGAUGAGCACUGUUCUGAGAGACAGGAAAGGCUGCAAGGUCAUUGAGUUCAUCCGUCUCCCAUUUCAGAAAGGACUCCCACACAUCGUCCUGUGCACAUACGACCUAUUCGAAGGCCUGUUUAAGACCACCAAAAAGAGAGAUGUGAAAACCUCUUAUUCCCACUUCUCUUGGUAGGAAAACCUUGUGUCUCAACUAAACCCCUGAGGCUGUACUUAUAAUCGGUGUCUUCUAAUUUUCUCCUCAGCUAGCCAUCCAAUUUUUUUUUUUAUUAUUAAUUACAAAAGUUAAAAAAGCCAACUAUGCCUGAAAAAGCAGCCCUUAGUAAAACUGCUUUCUUGUCUUCCCUAUUUUUCUUUAACAUUCUUUGUAGGGCCUGCUGUCCAGAUUUCUCCCCUCCUCAUGUUCCCUCAUGACUUUCUUUUUAAAAUUUUAAAAAUUGAUCUCUACAUCCAAUGUGGGACUCAAACUCACAAUCCCAAGAUCAAGAGUCACACACUCUUCCAAAUGAGCAAGCCAGGGUCCUCUUGAUGUUUUUUUUAUUUAAAAAAUAAUAGCUUUAUUGAAAUAUAAUUCACAUACCAUAAACUUUACAUUUUGAAAGUGUACAAUUCAGCAGCUUUUAGUACCUUUCCAGAAUUGUGUGACCACUGACACUAAUUCUGGAAUUCUAUACUAGUAGUGAAGUCUCAUUCCUUUCCUCAUAGCCCCUGGCAAUCUCAAAUCCACUUUCUGUCUCUCUGUGGUUGCCAGUUCUGGACAUUUCUUUUUUUAAAGAUUUUAUUUAUUUAUUCAUGAGAGAGGCAGAGACACAGGCAGAGGGAGAAGCAGGCUCCCCACUGGGAACCUGAUGUGGGACUUGAUCCCAGCACCCAGGAUCUUGGCCUGAGCCAAAGGCAGACACUCAACCACUGAGCCCCCCAGGUGUCCCUCUGGACAUUUUAUGUAAAUGGCAUUAUAGGAUACGUGAGCUUCUGUAUAUGGCUUUUUUCACUUAGCAUGUUUUCAAAGUUGGCUCAUCCAUGUUGUAUCCCUCCUUUGCAUGGCCAACUAAUAUUCCACUGUUUGGCUGUACUAUGUUUUGUUGGUCCAUUGGUUGUCAUGGUUAUCCAGUAGCUAGUAUGAGGUGUGCUGCUAUGAACAUUUGUGUACAAGUCUUUCCUUCAAGCCUAUGCUUUCAAUUCUCUUGAGUAUAUUCCUAGAAGUGGAUUUGCUGGGUUCUAUUCAAACUCUAUGUUUAACUUUUUGAAGAAUCUGAGACUGUUUCCCAAAGUGGCUGCAUCAUUUUACAUUCCUGCCAGCAAUGUAUGGGGCUUUUGAUUCUUUUCUUAACUCUCUCCAACUACUCAAAUUUCUUCUUUAGCUAUACACUUUAUAAUGGAACACACCAUUUCAAGAAUGAGUCUGAUUAAAAAGAGAGAACCACCUCGUGGUAUCUACAUGCUGCUAGUUCACUGAUGCCUCCGAAGAGCCUUUGCUUUCAGAUCUAAAGCAACACACUAAUGCUUAUCUGCAGCCAUCCUAUGGUCUGUUAUGUCACCUGAAUAUUUUUUUCUGUUUUGCUAAUACAUAUUUCUUUAACCCACUAAUUAAAAUGUUUUCUUUUUUAUUCAAAUGUACCAUGUCA